This 4021-nucleotide long non-coding RNA is filed under the name Homo sapiens (human). RNAcentral's name for it is "HSALNT0187935". The record is from RNAcentral. Lineage: Eukaryota; Metazoa; Chordata; Mammalia; Primates; Hominidae.
GGCUUGAGCCCAAGAAGGGGAGGUUGCAGUGAGCUGAGAUUGUGCCACUGCACUCCAGCCUGGACAAAAGCCAGACCUUGUCUCAAAGGAAAGGAUAAGAGGAGGUAUUUGUGAAAGAGUUGUAGUUAACGGCAAGUUGAAAGCCCUUUGGUUAGGAGUUUGUUUUACAUUGAGCAAAGACUAGUGCAUAGUGAGGCAGAGGGUGAGUGGCAUCAGAUGAAGGUGAGCAAGUGGGUAAAAUGCCAGAUCACAAUUUAGUCGUAAAUGAUAUGACACUGAGAUUUUAUUGGAAGUGUAACAAGCCAUUUAAUGAGUUUAAGUGUGGAAGUGCUCUGUGGCUUCUGUAAGGAGAAUGGACUGGCAGGCUGCAGGAAUGUGUAAAUAGAAAGACUAGUUGGGCUAUUCUAGUUAGGUGAAAGAUAAUGGGGCGUAUUAAUGCCCUUUAUCUAGAUGACCCUUUUCUGAUAUUUAUUCCAAUUAGAAAUGGAGGUCUGUGUAGUACCCCUGUUUGAAUUUUGAGAUUAGAUAAAAGAGAAUGAGUUUGUACCUUACUGUUACUAAUACCUUGAUGUAUGUUUCCAUAAAAAGGUCAUUAAUAUACACACACUGAAGACUUUUUAAGGUAUGGCAUUUCAGUACUUACGGUUUAUAUGUACUUUUAAAAUGAUAAUGAAAUUAUGUUAAAGCAGAAUGAUUUGCAUGAACAUGUUGAAAUGUAAUAGAGGAAUUUCUAUUUUAAAAAGUUAUUUAUUCAAUGGAAAUAAAAAAGGAUGACUUUCCCUAAGGAAGGAAAAUGAGACACUUAGAGCCACUCAAGUUGGCUUGAGACAAUUGAAAUUUGCGAUGUUGGAAAAAUUUGUCAUUGUUUUAUAAAAUAGUUUUACACAGAAAUUAUUUACUUUAGAGAUGGCUAUUAAGAAUUGACUUGAAAAGUAAGGUAAGGCUUCAAAAUCUGGUCAGAUUAAUUUAAAUAAUAUAAUAGAAUUUUGUUCUUUUUCCCACCUUUUCUCUCACAAGCCUGCAGUCAGCUUAGGGCUCAACUGAGGAAGGAUCCAUUUGCAAGCUCACUCAUGUGGUUGUCAGCAGACCUUAGAACACCUGCUUCCAAGUUAACUCACAUGUCUAUUGUCAGGCCUCAGGCAUCUGGCUGUUGGCCAGAGACAUCAGUUUAUUGCUAUGUGGGCUUCUCUUUUCUAUAGGCUCAGAACAUAACAGCUUGUUUGCCCCAGAGCAAGAUAUCUGGACAGUGAGAGAAAGGCCCGCCUUGGACUCCCAAAGUGCUGGGAUUACAGGCUUGAGCCACCGUGCCUGGCUCUUAAUGACAUCUUUUAUAUUAGCUUAUACCAUUAGGAUAAAAUAUUUGCAUUAUUGCUCCUUGAUCUGUUUUAUCACUAUAAACAUAUAAGACCUUUGUGCUAUGUACUUACUCCAGUGACUAGGAGUCUAGUAAACUAGCAGAGUUACCUAGAUGACCCUUUUCUGAUAUUUAUUCCAAUUAGAAAUGGAGGUCUGUGUAGUACCCCUGUUUGAAUGGGUCAUUUAAAAGUGAAUGGAUUUAUUACUGUUAUACUUAACUCAAAUUUGUAGAAAAAUGCAUGCAUUUACCCAAGGCAAUUUGUAUCUUAAAUUUAAGUAAGAAUCUAUCACAGAUCUUGACAAUCUUGACAGGUGUGUUGUCAACCUAACAAAUACAAAUAUGACCUCAUAACAGGAUUGAAAUAAAAGAUUUUCAUUAGAAUUACAUUUUGAAUUUGAUUGUGUAGAAUGAUUUUACAGACCAUUUUAUCCCAUUUAUUUUUUGUUUGUUUUGUUUUCUUUCAUUUAUUCAGUGGUGAGUUAGUUACUAGACUAUUCUUAAAGGAAAAACUAUACACUUUCUUUGUUUCCAUAGAAUGAAGAAUCAUGAAAUCAUAAGUUUCUUGAAGGAAGGAGAGAAGAAAAAGCUGGAUCACUUACCAGUAACUGGAGUUCUCCUAUUGGGUAAUCUCCACAGAUCCACAUUGUUUGAAGUUAUUGUGAGUGCCUCGAGGACCAAGGAACCGUUGAAAUUUCCAAUUUCAGGAAGUUCCAGUGGAUGCCCAUCAGGAAGAUUCUCAUGCUGAACAGAAGGGCAAGAGAGGUGGAUCUGUGAGGGAAAAGACCCAAUAGGAUAACUCAAGUUACUGGAAACCUCGACCUGUCUCCCAGUUGGUUGCACAGCAGGUUACUCAGCAGUUUGUGCCUCCUACACAGUCAAAGAAAGAGAAAAAAGAUAAAGUAGAAAAAGAAAAAAGUGAAAAGGAAACAACUAGCAAAAAGAAUAGCCAUAAGAAAACCAGGCCAAGAUUGAAAAAUGUGGAUCGGAGUAGUGCUCAGCAUUUGGAAGUUACUGUUGGAGAUCUGACAGUCAUUAUUACAGACUUUAAGGAGAAAACAAAGUCACCGCCUGCAUCUAGUGCUGCUUCUGCAGAUCAACACAGUCAAAGCGGCUCUAGCUCUGAUAACACAGAGAGAGGAAUGUCCAGGUCAUCUUCACCCAGAGGAGAAGCCUCAUCAUUGAAUGGAGAAUCUCAUUAAAGUUUAUUUUCUCCAAUUUCUUAGUCACUUCUGUCCUACCAUGCAAAUACACAGAUUAUGCCAAGAGGUACCACAUUUUCAUGACAGAUACAUUCAUGCACAAUCCAUAAUUUGAGUUUUACAUAAAAUAGAAAUUUGUUAGAAUUUGUUAGAUUUUAUUGCAAUGAUGCCUACCAAACAUUUCCAGACUUAACAUUUUGGUCUCUGCAGUUAAGUGCCAUGAAAAUGUGGUUGAAUUAUUCAUUAUGCAGUGUUAUUGGUAAGUGUAUUUUCACUUUUAGUUUAGUGAAUUCUAACACAUAAUUCUUGAAUUCUCUACUAUUGGCAUGUAACGAAUUUAAAUUUUUUAUAACAUAGUGCAAGCUGCCUAAAUAUGUAUUAUUUGAGAAUUGUGAAACAGAUAGUUAUAUGUAUACAAGUCAAAGAACAACUUAACUAUUGCUGCAACAGGUUUUUCUUAAUGGUUAUCCUCUUAAAUACACCUGCUGGUACUUGGUGUGGUUAAAUAGGAAAAUUGUUAUUAAAUAAAGAAUUUGUAUGAACCUUUGCCAAUGUUUUUGACACGUUUUACUAAUUAUUGUUCCUGAAUUAUGUUUCUGGUUUUAUCUAUUUUUUGAGGUUUUUUUGUUUGCUUAUUUUUCAAAACAUUCAUUUAUUGUAAUGUUUACUAGCGGACUAGUAAACAAUAAAACAUUGAUUAUUUAGCUUUAUAAUUCAGGUUUAGUGCUAUUGUCAUUGAACACUGGUAUUUUCUGUAUCAUAUAAAACAUUAAAAUUCAAAUAAUUAUAAGCAUUUGGCAAAAACAAGAGAAAAGAAACUUGCCAUAUUUUACAAGCUGCAAUUUUAGAAAAGCUUUAACUUAAUGAUAGUUUUAUCAUUGUUUUCUUGUCCCAAACUUAUCCAGGGCCAUAGAAGUAUGAAUCUAAUUAAAACAGAAAUGGGAAUUAUUGCACAGAAAUGGGAAAUAACUAAUUUUAAAUCAGUCAAAUUGGCUUCUUAUUAAAUACAAUAAUUCUUAUGAAAAUCAUAGUACCCUAUUUUCAGACACAGCUGCCAGUUUACACAUUUCUCAGUAUCCUGAAAGGAAAAAAGUAUAGCCCCACUUAUACUAUGUAAAAUUACCAAUAAAAUAUUUUUAUGACUACAGAUUUUGCAUUUUUGUUUACAACUAUUUAAAGAGUUUUAUGUUGUAUUUAGAAUUUCAACCUAGAAACCACACAGUACUUAAAUUCUCCUGGGGUCUCCUGCUUUCUCUUAACCAUUUGCUUAAUAUAUAUCUACCUAAAGGAGACUUCUGAAUUGUAAAUGAACUUAAAAAUAGAAUGUGGAUGCAAAAUAUCACAUAAGACAUCAUGAUAACAUUUGAAGAAAAAAUAAAACUGUAGACCCUAACAGUUGUGAUAUUUGGUGGUUUCAUGUGGUAAUGUAAUUUUCUGUUUAAUUACAGUACUUUUUACAGGCACA